AUGUUCCAUGUCCUCUCUCUUUCUGUGUGUUGUCGUCCAUGUAUGGCGAGGGGCAUGUCUCUCUCUCUCUCUCUCUCUCUCUCUCUCUCUCUCGUCCAUGUAUGGCUUCAGUUAGAGAGGGGCAUGUCUCUCUCUCUCUCCCUCUCUCUCUCUCUCUCUCGUCCAUGUAUGGCUUCAGUUAGAGAGGGGCAUGUCCUCUCUCUUUCUGUGUGUUGUCGUCCAUGUAUGGCGAGGGGCAUGUCUCUCUCUCGUCCAUGUAUGGCUUCAGUUAGAGAGGGGCAUGUCUCUCUCUCUCUCCCUCGUCCAUGUAUGGCUUCAGUUAGAGAGGGGCAUGUCUCUCUCUCUCCCUCCCUCUCUCGUCCAUGUAUGGCUUCAGUUAGAGAGGGGCAUGUCCUCUCUCUCUCUCUCUCUCCUCUCCUCUCUCUCUCUCUCUCUCUCUCUCUCCUCUCUCUCUUCUGCUCUCUUCUCUCUCUCUCUCUCUCUCUCGUCUCUCUCCUUCUUCUCUCGUCUCUCUUCUCUCUCUCUCUCCUCUCUCUCUCUCUCUCUCUCUCUCUCUCUCUCUCUCUCUCCUCUCUCUCUCUCUCUCUCUCUCUCUCUCUCUCUCUCGUCCAUGUAUGGCUUCAGUUAGAGAGGGGCAUGUCCUCUCUCUUUCUGUGUGUUGUCGUCCAUGUAUGGCGAGGGGCAUGUCUCUCUCUCGCUCUCUCUCUCUCUCUCUCUCUCUCUCGUCAUGUAUGGCUUCAGUUAGAGAGGGGGCAUGUCUCCUCUCUCUCUCUCUCUUCUCUCUCUCUCUCCUCUUCUCUCUCUUCUCUCCUCGUCCAGUAUGGCUUCAGUUAGAGAGGGGCAUGUCCUCUCCAAACUUCAUACAGUGGGCAGCGUUCUUGGCUUCAACACCAUCUGGACAACAACAGGUAGAAGGGCAGGAGAGAAAUAAAAGGAGAGAAAGAAGAGAUUUAAGCACAUGGGGAACAUCAUAAAGAAAAUACCUUUUCACACAGCAUUAUUCCUAGCCUCAGACUACUACUGGCCCUGUGCUAUCUUCACACAAGCAGAGUACGGUCUUCACACAAGCAGAGUAUUCUGAAACCAACGGUCAACUUUAUGGGAAAAUUCUAAUUAGGUAACAAAGUAACUGAUUGGUUAGCCCUGAAAAGUUGGUGCUAACCCUGCUCCAGAGCAUAGCCAGCUAGCCCUGUGCUAAGGUUGGUGCUAACCCUGCUCUAGAGCACAGCCAGCUAGCCCUGGGCUAAGGUUGGUG
Molecule: long non-coding RNA, 1255 nt
Filed under: Oncorhynchus kisutch (coho salmon)
Lineage: Eukaryota; Metazoa; Chordata; Actinopteri; Salmoniformes; Salmonidae
Description: lncRNA (ENSOKIG00005005259.1)
Source: RNAcentral